CUGCCACUUUGUUAAAUUUGUCAGCUCUAGAAGUCUCCUGGUGGAUUUUUGUUUUAUAGGGAGAGCGGUUCUAGAUACAGAACCAGCAAACAGAGAUUGUUUGAAUUCUUCUUUUUCUAUUUGUUUCCCUUUCACUUUCUUCUGUUGCCUGAUUGCUCUAGCUAGUGUUAUGAGAAUUAUAUUAAGUGGUGAGAGUGAAAAUCCUUAUCUUUUUCCUGAUUAUAGAGAAAAUGCUUUCAGUUUUUCUCCAUUCAGUAUAAUGAUGGCUUUGGGUUUCUCAUAAAUAGCCUUUAUAAUACUGAGGUGAAUUUCUUCUAUUCCCAGCAUUUUAAUAUGAAUGGGUGCUGUAUUUUAUUGAAGGCCUUUUCUGCAUCUAUUGAGAUAAUCAUGUGAUUCUUGUCCCUAAUUCUAUUUAAGUGCUGGGUGCAGUAAUCUCAGCUUCCCGACUCUCAGCACAGGGGAGAAGAGUUGGGAAGUGCUGGUGAAUGGUGCAGUCCUGCAGUGGGUGAGGCAGACUUCUGACCUGGAUGCUCCAGUCGUUGGGGUUUAGACUUUGAGGAACCUUUGGAACUCUUUAGCCCAUAACCCUCCACAGGUUUCACCUUCCCUGCUGUGAAUGUGAAUUAUCCAGUAUCCACCUAGAGGGCAGAAGCUCCUGUGUGGUCACUGCAUGUCUUUCCAUUGGCUCUUAUGGGACCAGCAACAAGGGAGCUUUCUCCUCUUCGUAGCCAGAGCCUCUAUGAGCAGUUUCUUUUACAGACCUCUCUCAAGUUUCAGUGAGUUCACCUGGUAACCCCCCUCACCGAGGAGCAGUCUUCCCACUCCCUAAGUGAUGCUGAGAAACUCCUAGAAGUGUAUUCUUCCUCCAAUCUGCCAUUUCUCUCCCUAAACAUUUUAAAAACAUGAAGUUUUUCAAUCCAUGAACAUGGAUUUGUCUUUUAAAGUUUCUUUCAACAGUAUUUUGUAGCUUUCAUUCUCUUUGCUAUUAUCAUGAAUGGACUUGUGUUCAUGAUUAAUAUACAGAAUAUACGAAGAACACAAAAAACUUAACACCAAAAAUAGCCCCAAUUAAUAAAUGGGCAAAAGAACUAAAGAAAUUCUUCUCAAAAGAAGAAAUACGUGUAUGAAUUGUCAUGUGUAGCUAAUAAAAAAACAUUAAAAAAGAAGAAAUACAAAUGGUCAAUAAAUAUAUGAAGAAAUGUUCAAUAUCUCUAUCAAUCAGGGUGUUUUAAUCAGGUUUUUUGUUUAUGUGUUUGUUUUUGUUUUGUUUUGUUUUGCUGCUGUGACCAAAAGAACUGACAAGAACAAUUUAGGGGAGGAAAAGUUUUAGAGGUCUCACAGUUUUAGAGGUCUCAGUUCAUAGAUGGCCACUCCAUUGCUCCUUGUCCAAGAUGUGGCAGAACAUCAUGCAAGAAAAAUGUGGUGGAAGAAAGUGGCUCAGGACAUGGCUACCAGAAAGCAGAGAGUGACUUCUGCUCAACAAGGACAAAAUAUAUACCCCAAAGGCAACCCCCAGAGACCACCUCCUCCAGCAAGACCAAACCUGCCUACAGUUACCACCCAGUUAAUCUGUUCCAGUGGAUUAAUCCAAGGAUUAAGUUAAAAUUUUCAUAACCCAAUCAUUUCACCUGUAAACUUCCUCACAUUGUCUCACAUUAGAGAGGUUUGGGGGAAUAGCUAAUACCCAAACUAUAACACAAGGAAAUGCAAAUCAAAAUUAAAUUCAGUUUUCAAAUAAAAAUUAAAUUCAGUUUUCUUCUCACCAGUCAGAAUGGCAAUUAUUGGGAAUAUAAGUAAUAAUAAAUGUUGAUGAGCAUGUGGGGAAAAAGGCAUACUCAUAUAUUGUCGGUGGGACUACAAAUUAUACAACAACUCUGAAAAGCAGUAUGAAGAUGCCUCAAAAAACUAGGAGCAAAAUCAUUAUACGACCCAGCUAUCCCAUUCCUUGGCAUAUAUCCCAAAGAUCCAAAAACACUAUACUAUAGGAAUGCAGCCGCAUCAAUGCUUAUGGCAGCACAAUUCAUAAUAGCCAAGCUAUGGAACUAGCCUAGGUACCCAUCAACAAACAGAUGGAAAAGAAAAUGGGGUAUAUUAAUACAAUGGCAUUUUACUUCAUCAUAAAGAAGAAUGAAGUGAUGGAAUUUGCUGGUAAAGGGAUGGAACUGGAGAAUAUCAUGCUGAGUAAAACUAACCCAGGCACAGAAAGUCAAGGGUUGAAUGAUUUCUCUCACAUGCAGGAGCUAGACCAAAAUAAGGGUGGGGAGAGAGAGAGAGAGAGAGAGAGAGAGAGAGAGAGAGAGAGAGAGGGAGGGAGGGAGGGAGAGGGAGGGGGGAAUUCCAUGAAUAUAGAAAAAAGAUGAGUACAAUAUAGGAAGGUGAUUUCAGGGGAAAGAGUAAAGAUGGAUUAAGGGAGGACAGUGGAAUGAAGUGACCAAACUUUCCCAUGUGCAUAUGUGAAGAUACCACAGUGAAUUUCUCCUUUAUGUAAACCCAUGAUGUACUAAGGUUUUAAAAACAUAAAUAAAUGGAAGUAAGAUGAGUAGAGGGAAGGAAACAGGGGAGGGAAGAGGGGCAGGAAAGGGCAAGUGCUUGGAACUGAAUCGGAGCCAAUCAUGUUCCAUGUUUGUAUAAUUAUGUCAAAAUGAACCCCCAAUAUCAUGUGUAUCUAUAAUGAACUAAGAAAAAAUUAUCUUUGUGCUUUUAAGAAAAGCUUAAUGCUGAGCUUAAAAUGCAAGAAACAAAACACUA
Molecule: long non-coding RNA, 2748 nt
Organism: Marmota monax (woodchuck)
Lineage: Eukaryota; Metazoa; Chordata; Mammalia; Rodentia; Sciuridae
Exons: 4
Source: RefSeq, a predicted model, not a curated record